AGGAAACGUCUUGUAUUAUUAUGUAUUCUGUGUCUGUAUGAGUGUAUGUAUAACUUACACUAGUACUGUGAUUGUGCGGAGGUGUUUCAGAACAAAUAUGGCUUUACCAAAACUUAGUAAUGUUAAUGACGACGUAUCGAAAUAUCUUUGUAUCAACGAAUAUUCUAACCCAAUUGCAAAAUAUAUUUCGACGAAUUCCCAAAGAGAACCGGAUAUUCUGCGACGAUUAUACGAGGUGGGUUCGUCGAAGUCAUCAUUUACUUCAUGAGUGCAUAUUGGCAGCCUAAUUGCUAGGUCUAUUAAAUCAUCAGUCAACAGAAUAACAAAGUUAGAAAUGAGUUGAUCUAUGCAGGCAUUUUCCACUAAAUGAAUAAAGUCAUCUCCAUCUUUCAUGUCCCAGCAUAGCUAUACAUAUACCAAUCCAUUGUCAUUUAUAUUGUAUUAUUCGGGGUGGCCUCACUUAUAAACUAAUGGCUUCUUGUGGUCUCCCCGCCACACUCCUGUUUGUUUUAAUGUUCUUUACUGACAUUUUGUUUAUUUGUUUGUUUGUUUGUUUUUGACUAAACUAACCUAUUAUUAGUUUAUAAAUGUCGCGUUAAAUUGUAUUAAACAUCUUUAAAAGCCUUUAAAGUUCCAACAAUUUUGUACAUGCAUUGAUUUAUACUCGAAAUAAUUUUUUUAUUCGCAAGACAAUCUACUGUUUUGCUUUGAAUAACUAUAUUUGCGAAUCGGGAUUGAGGAUUUUGAAAUUAUUGUUCAAGUAUUACGGCUAUACCAUUAAAUUUUGUAAACAAUGUUGAUUUUAUACAGCACUGUACGGGCUAAUAAUAUAUGUAUCCGUUUUAUUUAAUAAAUUAUAAUUGUAUAUGUGUUUGUAUAUUUUACAAACACAAGACUGCUUCUUGCCAAAAUUGAGAAAAUAUAUAUUAAUGUAGUUGUGUAUAAGACAAAAUUUCAUGAAAGAUUCUACUUUUGCUAUAUAUUUUGACCUAUUUUGUGCUUUCGCUACACCUUGUCAACAUUAAAUAAUAGUGUUGCUUCAAACUUUAUGAUAAAAAACCCCGAUUUUCUAG
Paramuricea clavata is the source of this 1073-nucleotide non-coding RNA. Lineage: Eukaryota; Metazoa; Cnidaria; Anthozoa; Malacalcyonacea; Plexauridae. The record is from the annotation of a GenBank genome assembly.